GGGUGGCUAGGCAAACCCCGCCCGGAGCAAGGCCAAAUAGGAAUCCGCUGGCGUGGUCCGCGCCGGAUUCGGGUAGGCCGCUGGAGGUCUUCGGCGACGGAGACCCUAGAUGAAUGGCUGCACGCCGGAUUGCGGCGGGGCAAUGCUCCCGGCGCUCCGGUGACAGAACCCGGCUUAUCGGCCAGCUCUACUU
Molecule: RNase P RNA, 193 nt
Filed under: Gammaproteobacteria bacterium
Lineage: Bacteria; Pseudomonadati; Pseudomonadota; Gammaproteobacteria
Description: partial RNase P RNA component class A
Rfam family: Bacterial RNase P class A
About the family: Ribonuclease P (RNase P) is a ubiquitous endoribonuclease, found in archaea, bacteria and eukarya as well as chloroplasts and mitochondria. Its best characterised activity is the generation of mature 5'-ends of tRNAs by cleaving the 5'-leader elements of precursor-tRNAs. Cellular RNase Ps are ribonucleoproteins.
Source: RNAcentral